GUCAGUCUGCCCCUGCUGGGCGGUGCCUCCCUGUUAGGCUGCUUGGGGGUCAGGGGUCAGGGACCCACUUGAGGAGGCAGUCUGCCCAUUCUCACAUCUCCAGCUGCGUGCUGGGAGAACCACUGCUCUCUUCAAAGCUGUCAGACAGGGACAUUUAAGUCUGCAGCGGUUACUGCUGUCUUUUUGUUUGUCUGUGCCCUGCCCCCAGAGGCGGAGCCUACAGAGGCAAGCAGGCCUCCUUGAGCUGUGGUGGGCUCCACCCAGUUCGAGCUUCCCGGCUGCUUUGUUUACCUAAGCUAGCCUGGGCAAUGGCGGGCGCCCCUCCCCCAGCUUCUCUGCGGCCUUGCAGUUUGAUCUCAGACUGCUGUGCUAGCAAUCAGCGAGACUCCGCGGGCGUAGGACCCUCCGAGCCAGUGAGAUGAACCCGGUACCUCAGAUGGAAAUGCAGAAAUCACCCAUCUUCUGCGUCGCUCACGCUGGUAGCUGUAGACCGGAGCUGUUCCUAUUCGGCCAUCUUGGCUCCUCCUCAAUUUUUGUAUAUAGUGAAAGUGCUUCAGAGGUACAGUCCUUUUCCAAGAACCACCGCCAUGCCAUUGCCACUGGUACCUCUCCUCACUCAACUCCUCUCCUGGUGGUGCUUUGAAGAUGGCUGGAACUCUAGUCUUUACUCAGCUACUAAAGUUGGCUGUCUUCCAGCAGCCUUCCCAACUCCUGCUGAAAGAAGGAAAAAGGUAGAAAGGAACAUGUGAGAUGGUAGAGAGACGUGCACUGUUCAAUGUAACUCCACAUCUUCAGCAAAUCCUGUUAAACUAAAAAAAAAUGAUGCUGACUUCUAAGUCCAGGUGAAUGCACGACAGAGACAACACAUGCAGAUUCAGGAGCCAUUGGCGGGGAAUACCAGGAGAAUAACUCCUGGAAAUGCACAAAAAUCAUAAGGAGGGCUUUGGAUUUCAAGGCUUUGGAAUUGGAAGUUUUGCAUCAAGUUUACAUGUAUCUCCAGGACAGCUGAUAUUGGAUACUCAUUUAAAAGAAGACUUUUCAGUACCCAGUUGGAAAUAAAGCUUUAGAAUCCAAGUAUCCCUGAGGGAGAUGACUCUGGCAAAAAUGCACACUGAGGUAUAAAGAACUCAUGCCAUUCAAAAGCCUUAUUCAAAAGUACAUGUGGGAGGGCAGCAGGAAUCUGAAGUAGAAGAGGAGAAGAGAUGCUGGUAUGGGAAGGGAGGUGGUGAGAAGGAAGGCAUAUCUGCAACUGGGCCAAUUAAAAUGUGCAGCAUGUACAGGAGGUGGGAGAAUAAUCAAAUGAAUAACAAGUAUUAACUUUUCUGUAUUGCUAAGUUGUAAACUUAAAGGAGACAUUUUAAAAGGAUCUUAAAUUCUGUUCCUCAAUCUCAGUGACAUGAGAUAAUAUGCAUAUUGCUACAUCUUUUCUUUUUAAUGACCUAUAAAAGCAAUCAGGUGUGAGAACUUGAAAUUUUGUGAUCUGUUACAGUAUGCGCGUUAUGAAGCUCACACUCAUUUUCACUUUUAAGUGUCUCUGUUGUUUCUUUAGUUUUCAUUUUUAACAUUGUACCCAUAAAAAAUAACAUAUGUUGUUGUAAAAUGCUUUUAUUUUC
RNAcentral lists this long non-coding RNA (1613 nucleotides) under Homo sapiens (human). Its description in RNAcentral is "HSALNT0303294". The record is from RNAcentral. Lineage: Eukaryota; Metazoa; Chordata; Mammalia; Primates; Hominidae.